This 201-nucleotide ribosomal RNA is filed under the name uncultured bacterium. RNAcentral's name for it is "partial 16S ribosomal RNA". It matches the Rfam family "Bacterial small subunit ribosomal RNA", at positions 524 to 724 of the family's 1533-position model. The record is from RNAcentral.
UACGGAGGGUGCAAACGUUGCUCGGAAUCAUUGGGCGUAAAGCGCACGUAGGCGGCCUGUUAAGUCGGGUGUGAAAGCCCUGGGCUCAACCCAGGAAGUGCACACGAAACUGGCAGGCUUGAAUAUGGAAGAGGGUCGCGGAAUUCCCGGUGUAGAGGUGAAAUUCGUAGAUAUCGGGAGGAACACCAGUGGCGAAGGCGG